AGCGAACGCUGGCGGCAGGCUUAACACAUGCAAGUCGAACGGGACCACCGUGAUCAGCUGCGGUCGGGGGAGUCACGCGUGGGAAGGUGCAUUCAUGUACCGGAUACUUCAUUGUAACUUGAGCUAAUGCCGGAAACGCUAUUCUGGGACCAGGUUUACUGUAGGAGGAUCGGCACGGGUCCGUUUAGCCUGUUGGGAGGGAAACAGCCUACCAAGGCGACGCUCAGUAGCUGGGCUGAGAGGAUGAUCAGCCACACUGGGACUGAGACACGGCCCAGACUCCUACGGGAGGCAGCAGUGGGGAAUAUUGGACAAGGGGCGCAAGCCUGAUCCAGCCAUGCCGCGUGAGUGAUGAAGGCCUUAGGGUUGUAAAGCUCUUUUAUCCGGGACGAUAAUGACGGUACCGGAGGAAUAAGCCCCGGCUAACUUCGUG
RNAcentral lists this ribosomal RNA (433 nucleotides) under uncultured bacterium. Its description in RNAcentral is "partial 16S ribosomal RNA". It matches the Rfam family "Bacterial small subunit ribosomal RNA", at positions 29 to 507 of the family's 1533-position model. The record is from RNAcentral.